Molecule: ribosomal RNA, 804 nt
Filed under: uncultured bacterium
Lineage: Bacteria
Description: bacterial SSU rRNA
Rfam family: Bacterial small subunit ribosomal RNA
Source: RNAcentral
AGUCGAACGGAGUUAUGAUGUGAGCGGGAAGUGCUUGCACUAAACAAUCUUUUCAUAACUUAGUGGCGGACGGGUGAGUAACGCGUGGGUAACCUGCCCUGUACUGGGGGACAACAGUUGGAAACGACUGCUAAUACCGCAUAAGCGCACGGGAUCGCAUGACCGUGUGUGAAAAACUCCGGUGGUACAGGAUGGACCCGCGUCUGAUUAGCUGGUUGGUGAGGUAACGGCCCACCAAGGCAACGAUCAGUAGCCGGCCUGAGAGGGUGAACGGCCACAUUGGGACUGAGACACGGCCCAAACUCCUACGGGAGGCAGCAGUGGGGAAUAUUGCACAAUGGGGGAAACCCUGAUGCAGCGACGCCGCGUGAGUGAAGAAGUAUUUCGGUAUGUAAAGCUCUAUCAGCAGGGAAGAAAAUGACGGUACCUGACUAAGAAGCCCCGGCUAACUACGUGCCAGCAGCCGCGGUAAUACGUAGGGGGCAAGCGUUAUCCGGAUUUACUGGGUGUAAAGGGAGCGUAGACGGCAUGGCAAGUCUGAAGUGAAAUGCGGGGGCUCAACCCCUGAACUGCUUUGGAAACUGUCAGGCUGGAGUGCAGGAGAGGUAAGUGGGAUUCCUAGUGUAGCGGUGAAAUGCGUAGAUAUUAGGAGGAACACCAGUGGCGAAGGCGGCUUACUGGACUGUAACUGACGUUGAGGCUCGAAAGCGUGGGGAGCAAACAGGAUUAGAUACCCUGGUAGUCCACGCCGUAAACGAUGAUUACUAGGUGUUGGGGAUUUAUAAAUCCCCGGUGCCGUCGCAA